GAUCGUCAAGCCCACUGCGAAGCCCUUUCGACGAGUCGAGUUGUUUGGGAAUGCAGCUCCAAGCGGGUGGUAAAUUUCAUCUAAAGCUAAAUACCUGCCAGAGACCGAUAGCGCACAAGUAGAGUGAUCGAAAGAUGAAAAGCACUUUGAAAAGAGAGUCAAACAGCACGUGAAAUUGUUGAAGGGGAAGCGCUUGCAACCAGACUCGCACGCGGGGGCUCAGCCGUCCCUCGGGACGGUGCACUCCCCCGCGAUCGGGCCAGCAUCGGUUUCGGCGGCCGGACAAAGGCCCGGGGAAGGUAGCUCCCUCGCGGGAGUGUUAUAGCCCCGGGUGCAAUGCGGCCCGCCGGGACCGAGGACCGCGCUUUUGCUAGGAUGCUGGCGUAAUGGUUGCCAGCGACCCGUCUUGAAACACGGACCAAGGAGUCGACCGGCGACGCGAGUGUUCGGGCGUCAAACCCGGGCGCGCAAUGAAAGUGAACGGAGGUGGGAGCCCCCGGGCGCACCAUCGACCGAUCCUGAUGUCUUCGGAUGGAUUUGAGUACGAGCGCCGCCGGUCGGACCCGAAAGAUGGUGAGCUAUACGUGGAUAGGGUGAAGCCAGAGGAAACUCUGGUGGAGGCUCGCAGCGGUUCUGACGUGCAAAUCGAUCGUCAAAUCUGCGUAUAGGGGCGAAAGACUAAUCGAACCAUCUAGUAGCUGGUUCCUGUCGAAGUUUCCCUCAGGAUAGCAGCAACGAAAACAGUCUCAUGAGGUAGAGCGAACGAUUAGAGGCCUUGGGGUAGAAACUACCUUAACCUAUUCUCGAACUUCG
This 813-nucleotide ribosomal RNA is filed under the name Diploschistes diploschistoides. Its description in RNAcentral is "eukaryotic LSU rRNA". It matches the Rfam family "Eukaryotic large subunit ribosomal RNA", at positions 230 to 1067 of the family's 3401-position model. The record is from RNAcentral. Lineage: Eukaryota; Fungi; Ascomycota; Lecanoromycetes; Ostropales; Graphidaceae.